Molecule: ribosomal RNA, 497 nt
Filed under: uncultured bacterium
Lineage: Bacteria
Description: partial 16S ribosomal RNA
Rfam family: Bacterial small subunit ribosomal RNA
Source: RNAcentral
GAUGAACGCUGGCGGCGUGCCUAAUACAUGCAAGUCGAGCGAACAGAUAAGGAGCUUGCUCCUUUGACGUUAGCGGCGGACGGGUGAGUAACACGUGGGUAACCUACCUAUAAGACUGGAAUAACUCCGGGAAACCGGGGCUAAUGCCGGAUAACAUUUAGAACCGCAUGGUUCUAAAGUGAAAGAUGGUUUUGCUAUCACUUAUAGAUGGACCCGCGCCGUAUUAGCUAGUUGGUAAGGUAACGGCUUACCAAGGCAACGAUACGUAGCCGACCUGAGAGGGUGAUCGGCCACACUGGAACUGAGACACGGUCCAGACUCCUACGGGAGGCAGCAGUAGGGAAUCUUCCGCAAUGGGCGAAAGCGUGACGGAGCAACGCCGCGUGAGUGAUGAAGGUCUUCGGAUCGUAAAACUCUGUUAUUAGGGAAGAACAAAUGUGUAAGUAACUGUGCACGUCUUGACGGUACCUAAUCAGAAAGCCACGGCUAACUACGUG